This is a non-coding RNA of Theobroma cacao (cacao), 1649 nucleotides long. The record is from RefSeq and is a predicted model, not a curated record. NCBI's taxonomy places the organism in Eukaryota, Viridiplantae, Streptophyta, Magnoliopsida, Malvales, Malvaceae.
UACAGCUUUUAUUCCUUUAUGAAAAAUUGCUUGAAGCUUCCACAAUACUCUUCAUCUUUGAUUUUAGUUUUUUAACAUGGUAUUAAAACAGGAAUUAGGGUUCCUGAUAUGAGUUCUUGAUUUUUUUUGUUGAAAUUUUUAUUGCAAUAGAUGUAAUUUUUGUUUGGCAUCAUUUCUUGUUGAUUUCUGGUGAUUCUUGCUCGUUUUGUUGAAAUUCUUGAUUUCUUGCUUGAGAAACGAGUAGUUCAACUAAGAAUACCACAUUUGCCAUUGAAGAUUCACAAUCUCCCUAUUUCCUUCAUCACAUUGAUCAUUACGGAUUAGUUGUGAUUACUCCUAAACUCACAUCCAGCAACUAUGUUGCUUGAAGCAAAUCAUUCAUGCUUGCCCUUUCAAUUAGGAAUAAGGUAGGGUUUAUAGGUAGAACUGUACCUACACCAACUAUUACUGAUUCACUGUUUGGGCCAUGGAUUCAUUGUAAUAAUUUGAUCUUAGCCUGGCUCUUAGAAUCAAUUACACCUCUUAUUGCUUCCACUGUAUUUUACAUGGAUUCAGCUGCUGAAUUUUGGAAUACUUUGAAGUUAAAUUUUGCUUAACCCAAUGAUACAAGGGUUUGUAAUCUCCAAUAUAAUCUUGGCAAUGUUUCUCAAGGCAAUAGAUCUGUAGAUUCGUACUUCAUUGAAUUUAAAGAUAUUUGGGUGAAAUUACAAGCCUCUGCCACAAUGGUGUGGGAAAUGCAAUUAAGCAUGUUUUAAAAAUACUUUGACCAGUACAAGAAAGAUAUGGUGUUUAGGUUCAUCAAUGGGCUCCAUGAUUCUUUUUCAGCUUUGAGAACUCAGAUUAUUGUUAUGGAACCUUUUCCUACUUUAGAUGAAGUGUACAAUUUAGUUCUCUGAGAAGAAAUCAGAAGAGUUUUUUGUUACAAUCUAGUCCUUUGAUUGAGUCAUCUGUAGUGGCAAUAGCUACUGAUAAUAAGAUGAAGGGAAAACCAGAUGUGACUUGCAGCCACUGUGGUAAAAAGGGUCAUAUAAAGGAAAAAUGCUUUAGCUUAAUAGGUUUUCCUAAAGACUUCAAGUUUACAAAAGACAAGGACAAGGGAAGUUUCAGAAAAUAAAAUCCUAAUUCUACUGUUAACAGUGUUUCUGCUAUUACUGAUUCAUCUUCAUAUGCAGAAAGAGCAUCGCAACCAAGCCAAGAAGAAGAGUGUGGUGGUUCUAAUUCUAUGUGUCAGAUGUCUAUCAUAAAGCAACAACUUCAAAAAUUAAUGGCACUCAUCAAUGUUGACAAUUCUGACAUUGAUCAAGCUGCUUCAGGGAUUUUCUGUUAAAGGGGAGUAUAAUAAACUUAACAAGCAGCAGUUGGUAUGCAAAUUACAUAAGUCCCUAUAUGGACUCAAACAAGCUUCAAGACAAUGGAAUUCAAAGUUCACUACUACACUUUUGAAGUAUGGUUUUAAGCAAUAAAUUUCUAAUUACUUUUUGUUUACUUUACUCACAGACAGAGGUGUAUUUGUUACCCUAUUAGUUUAUGUUGAUGAUAUUUUACUAGGCAGUACUUCAGUUCAAGCUUUAAAUGAUGUUAAGACAUACUUAAGCUCUUAAUAUAAGCUUAAGGAUCUUGGAAAUGUAAAGUAUUUCUUGGGAUUAGAA